Molecule: ribosomal RNA, 435 nt
Filed under: uncultured bacterium
Lineage: Bacteria
Description: bacterial SSU rRNA
Rfam family: Bacterial small subunit ribosomal RNA
Source: RNAcentral
AACGCGAAGAACCUUACCUGGGCUUGACAUCCACGGAACCCUCCCGAAACGGAGGGGUGCCCUUCGGGGAGCCGUGAGACAGGUGCUGCAUGGCUGUCGUCAGCUCGUGUCGUGAGAUGUUGGGUUAAGUCCCGCAACGAGCGCAACCCUUGUCAUUAGUUGCCAGCAGUUCGGCUGGGCACUCUAGUGAGACUGCCGGGGAUAACUCGGAGGAAGGUGGGGAUGACGUCAAAUCAUCAUGCCCCUUAUGUUCUGGGCUACACACGUGCUACAAUGGCUGGUACAAAGAGAAGAGAGAUCGCGAGGUGGAGCAAAUCUCAAAAACCAGUCCCAGUUCGGAUUGUAGGCUGCAACUCGCCUACAUGAAGUCGGAGUUGCUAGUAAUCGCGAAUCAGAAUGUCGCGGUGAAUGCGUUCCCGGGUCUUGUACACACCG